RNAcentral lists this long non-coding RNA (386 nucleotides) under Triticum aestivum (bread wheat). Its description in RNAcentral is "long non-coding RNA (TAES_LNC022605)". Lineage: Eukaryota; Viridiplantae; Streptophyta; Magnoliopsida; Poales; Poaceae. The record is from RNAcentral.
CCACCUACAGUUUCUUGGAAGAUAACAAGAUGCUCAUAGGCUAAGAGCCUAAAACCAGUACCUACCAACAUAUAUUCUCCACAGGAGUGAAUUCCUGUUGCGCUGUUAUUUUGUUUUCAAUGUGGCUAGGAGUUUUUGUUUCAGGACUAUCGCAACGGUGAUCCACUGUUACCUACCGAAGUUCAUUUGCAGUGCGAAAUAAUUGUUUCUCCUAUGUUGCUACUGGAUUGUAAGUUUUGUACUGAUUUUCUGAGACCCUAUUGGAAGGAUAUUGUACACCUCUUCUGGUUCUUGCUCCCUAUAUAUUUGAUAAAUAAGCAAACAUUCUUCAUCUUUUGUGUCUAACAAUGUUAUUCAAGUGCUUGAAUGUUGUAUGUGUGCUCUAA